UACGUAGGUGGCAAGCGUUGUCCGGAUUUACUGGGCGUAAAGCGCGCGCAGGCGGCACACUAAGUACGAUGUGAAAUCUCCCUGCUCAACGGGGAGGGUGCAUAGUAAACUGGUGAGCUAGAGGACGGUAGAGGGGGGUGGAAUUGCUGGUGUAGCGGUGAAAUGCGUAGAGAUCAGCAGGAACACCCGUGGCGAAGGCGGCCCCCUGGGCCGAACCUGACGCUGAGGCGCGAAGGCUAGGGGAGCGAACGGG
RNAcentral lists this ribosomal RNA (253 nucleotides) under uncultured bacterium. Its description in RNAcentral is "partial 16S ribosomal RNA". It matches the Rfam family "Bacterial small subunit ribosomal RNA", at positions 524 to 776 of the family's 1533-position model. The record is from RNAcentral.